AGAGUUUGGAUCCUGGCUCAGAACGAACGCUGGCGGCAGGCCUAACACAUGCAAGUCGAACGGGACCUUCGGGUCUAGUAGCGGACGGGUGAGUAACGCGUGGGAACGUACCCUUUGGUUCGGAAUAGCCCUGGGAAACUGGGAGUAAUACCGGAUACGGUCGAGAGACGAAAGAUUUAUCGCCGAAGGAUCGGCCCGCGUUGGAUUAGGUAGUUGGUGGGGUAAUGGCCUACCAAGCCGACGAUCCAUAGCUGGUUUGAGAGGAUGAUCAGCCACACUGGGACUGAGACACGGCCCAGACUCCUACGGGAGGCAGCAGUGGGGAAUCUUAGACAAUGGGGGAAACCCUGAUCUAGCCAUGCCGCGUGAGCGAUGAAGGCCUUAGGGUUGUAAAGCUCUUUCAGUGGGGAAGAUAAUGACGGUACCCACAGAAGAAGCCCCGGCUAACUCCGUGCCAGCAGCCGCGGUAAUACGGAGGGGGCUAGCGUUGUUCGGAAUUACUGGGCGUAAAGCGCACGUAGGCGGACAGAGAAGUCAGAGGUGAAAUCCCAGGGGCUCAACCUUGGAACUGCCUUUGAAACUUUUUGUCUUGAGGUCGAGAGAGGUGAGUGGAAUUCCGAGUGUAGAGGUGAAAUUCGUAGAUUUCGGAGGAACACCAGAGGCCGAAGGCGGCUCACUGGCUCGAUACUGACGCUGAGGUGCCGAAAGCGUGGGGGAGCAAACCAGGAUUAGAUACCCUGGUAGUCCACGCCGUAAACGAUGGAAUGCCAGGUCGUCGGGGUAGCAUGCUA
Molecule: ribosomal RNA, 791 nt
Filed under: uncultured Alphaproteobacteria bacterium
Lineage: Bacteria; Pseudomonadati; Pseudomonadota; Alphaproteobacteria
Description: bacterial SSU rRNA
Rfam family: Bacterial small subunit ribosomal RNA
Source: RNAcentral